This 134-nucleotide non-coding RNA is filed under the name Chryseobacterium sp. Lineage: Bacteria; Pseudomonadati; Bacteroidota; Flavobacteriia; Flavobacteriales; Weeksellaceae. The record is from RNAcentral.
UCCUAAUUAAAACCUUAAAUUUGCAGCUGUUCAACAAUGGGAAUUUGGUGAAAAUCCAAAACAGACCCGCUACUGUAAAUAAUUCAGGUAAAAGAAUUUAUAAGUCAGAUACCAUGUUGAAUCUACAUAUUGAU